GUGCAGCAGUCGAGAAUUUUUCUCAAUGGGGGCAACCCUGAAGGAGCGACGCCGCGUGGAGGAUGAAGGCUUUCGGGUUGUAAACUCCUGUCAUUUGGGAACAAGUUGGACGCAGUAACUACGCGUCCAUUGAUAGUACCAGAAGAGGAAGGGACGGCUAACUCUGUGCCAGCAGCCGCGGUAAUACAGAGGUCCCAAGCGUUGUUCGGAUUCAUUGGGCGUAAAGGGUGCGUAGGUGGCGCCGUAAGUGGGGUGUGAAAUUUCGGAGCUUAACUCCGAAACUGCAUUCCACACUGCGGUGCUUGAGGGCUGGAGAGGAGACUGGAAUUCAUGGUGUAGCAGUGAAAUGCGUAGAGAUCAUGAGGAAGACCAGUGGCGAAGGCGGGUCUCUGGACAGUUCCUGACACUGAGGCACGAAGGCCAGGGGGAGCAAACGGGAUUAGAUACCCCGGUAGU
Molecule: ribosomal RNA, 456 nt
Filed under: uncultured organism
Description: bacterial SSU rRNA
Rfam family: Bacterial small subunit ribosomal RNA
Source: RNAcentral